AUGCUCACUUUGGCUGCACAUAUACUAAAAUUGGAACAAUACAAAGAAGAUUAGCAUGGCCCCUGAGUGAGGAUGGCAUGCAAAUUUGUGAAGCGUUCCAUAUUUCU
Molecule: small nuclear RNA, 107 nt
Filed under: Prolemur simus (greater bamboo lemur)
Lineage: Eukaryota; Metazoa; Chordata; Mammalia; Primates; Lemuridae
Source: RNAcentral